GGGCGGUUAGCGAAACGGUUAAACGCGGCAGACUGUAAAUCUGUUCCUUCGGGUUCAGUGGUUCGAAUCCACUACUGCCCA
Molecule: transfer RNA, 81 nt
Filed under: Junco hyemalis (dark-eyed junco)
Lineage: Eukaryota; Metazoa; Chordata; Aves; Passeriformes; Passerellidae
Rfam family: tRNA
About the family: Transfer RNA (tRNA) molecules are approximately 80 nucleotides in length. Their secondary structure includes four short double-helical elements and three loops (D, anti-codon, and T loops). Further hydrogen bonds mediate the characteristic L-shaped molecular structure. tRNAs have two regions of fundamental functional importance: the anti-codon, which is responsible for specific mRNA codon recognition, and the 3' end, to which the tRNAs corresponding amino acid is attached (by aminoacyl-tRNA synthetases). tRNAs cope with the degeneracy of the genetic code in two manners: having more than one tRNA (with a specific anti-codon) for a particular amino acid; and 'wobble' base-pairing, i.e. permitting non-standard base-pairing at the 3rd anti-codon position.
Source: Rfam by way of RNAcentral